RNAcentral lists this long non-coding RNA (467 nucleotides) under Nicotiana benthamiana. Its description in RNAcentral is "long non-coding RNA (NBEN_LNC029672)". Lineage: Eukaryota; Viridiplantae; Streptophyta; Magnoliopsida; Solanales; Solanaceae. The record is from RNAcentral.
AAUACUAGAGUAUAUAAUUCUGCAGUUAGACAGAGCCGGUCUAAGCGAUCCACAUCCCCGCGAUCCUGUAAUGAAGACAGUACUCGAAGAAUUUCUUCGGAGAAUGCUACUUCAACUACAGCAGCAAGGGCGAAAUAGCCCCGUCUAUCAUGACUUUCUCUUUUGAAUGAAACGCGGACUCCGAUUGAAUUUCUAUCCGCGGUAAAUAAUGAGCUGUUCGAUAUCAAAGUUUUAGAGUUAAAAGCGAAUCUUCAGGAUCAACUUUUUAAUCUCUUUCUCAAUGAACCGGACAGCGAAUUUCUUGCAAUUUUACGCGAAUCCCCUUUUAGGGAACAAGGCUUAAGGCCAGAAAUACUAGAGUAUAUAAUUCUGCAGUUAGACAGAGCCGGUCUAAGCGAUCCACAUCCCCGCGAUCCUGUAAUGAAGACAGUACUCGAAGAAUUUCUUCGGAGAAUGCUACUUCAACU